This 492-nucleotide ribosomal RNA is filed under the name uncultured bacterium. Its description in RNAcentral is "partial 16S ribosomal RNA". It matches the Rfam family "Bacterial small subunit ribosomal RNA", at positions 29 to 507 of the family's 1533-position model. The record is from RNAcentral.
AGUGAACGCUGGCGGUAGGCCUAACACAUGCAAGUCGAACGGCAGCACAGUAAGAGCUUGCUCUUACGGGUGGCGAGUGGCGGACGGGUGAGGAAUACAUCGGAAUCUACUUUUUCGUGGGGGAUAACGCAGGGAAACUUACGCUAAUACCGCAUACGACCUACGGGUGAAAGCAGGGGAUCUUCGGACCUUGCGCGAUUGAAUGAGCCGAUGUCGGAUUAGCUAGUUGGCGGGGUAAAGGCCCACCAAGGCGACGAUCCGUAGCUGGUCUGAGAGGAUGAUAAGCCACACUGGAACUGAGACACGGUCCAGACUCCUACGGGAGGCAGCAGUGGGGAAUAUUGGACAAUGGGCGCAAGCCUGAUCCAGCCAUACCGCGUGGGUGAAGAAGGCCUUCGGGUUGUAAAGCCCUUUUGUUGGGAAAGAAAAGCAGCAGGUUAAUACCCCGCUGUUCUGACGGUACCCAAAGAAUAAGCACCGGCUAACUUCGUG